AAGUCGAACGGGAUCCAUCAGGCUUUGCUUGGUGGUGAGAGUGGCGAACGGGUGAGUAAUGCGUGACCGACCUGCCCCAUACACCGGAAUAGCUCCUGGAAACGGGUGGUAAUGCCGGAUGCUCCGACUCCUCGCAUGGGGUGUCGGGAAAGAUUUCAUCGGUAUGGGAUGGGGUCGCGUCCUAUCAGGUAGUCGGCGGGGUAACGGCCCACCGAGCCUACGACGGGUAGCCGGCCUGAGAGGGCGACCGGCCACAUUGGGACUGAGAUACGGCCCAGACUCCUACGGGAGGCAGCAGUGGGGAAUAUUGCACAAUGGGCGCAAGCCUGAUGCAGCGACGCCGCGUGCGGGAUGACGGCCUUCGGGUUGUAAACCGCUUUUGAUCGGGAGCAAGCCUUCGGGUGAGUGUACCUUUCGAAUAAGCACCGGCUAACUACGUGCCAGCAGCCGCGGUAAUACGUAGGGUGCAAGCGUUAUCCGGAAUUAUUGGGCGUAAAGGGCUCGUAGGCGGUUCGUCGCGUCCGGUGUGAAAGUCCAUCGCUUAACGGUGGAUCUGCGCCGGGUACGGGCGGGCUGGAGUGCGGUAGGGGAGACUGGAAUUCCCGGUGUAACGGUGGAAUGUGUAGAUAUCGGGAAGAACACCAAUGGCGAAGGCAGGUCUCUGGGCCGUUACUGACGCUGAGGAGCGAAAGCGUGGGGAGCGAACAGGAUUAGAUACCCUGGUAGUCCACGCCGUAAACGGUGGAUGCUGGAUGUGGGGCCCGUUCCACGGGUUCCGUGUCGGAGCUAACGCGUUAAGCAUCCCGCCUGGGGAGUACGGCCGCAAGGCUAAAACUCAAAGAAAUUGACGGGGGCCCGCACAAGCGGCGGAGCAUGCGGAUUAAUUCGAUGCAACGCGAAGAACCUUACCUGGGCUUGACAUGUUCCCGACCGCUCCAGAGAUGGGGCUUCCCUUCGGGGCGGGUUCACAGGUGGUGCAUGGUCGUCGUCAGCUCGUGUCGUGAGAUGUUGGGUUAAGUCCCGCAACGAGCGCAACCCUCGCCCUGUGUUGCCAGCACGUCAUGGUGGGAACUCACGGGGGACCGCCGGGGUCAACUCGGAGGAAGGUGGGGAUGACGUCAGAUCAUCAUGCCCCUUACGUCCAGGGCUUCACGCAUGCUACAAUGGCCGGUACAACGGGAUGCGACACGGCGACGUGGAGCGGAUCCCUGAAAACCGGUCUCAGUUCGGAUUGGAGUCUGCAACCCGACUCCAUGAAGGCGGAGUCGCUAGUAAUCGCGGAUCAGCAACGCCGCGGUGAAUGCGUUCCCGGGCCUUGUACACACCGCCCGUCAAGUCAUGAAAGUGGGUAGCACCCGAAGCCGGUGGCCUAACCCUUUGUGGAUGGAGCCGUCUAAGGUGAGACUCGUGAUUGGGNCUAAGUC
RNAcentral lists this ribosomal RNA (1424 nucleotides) under Bifidobacterium pseudocatenulatum. Its description in RNAcentral is "bacterial SSU rRNA". It matches the Rfam family "Bacterial small subunit ribosomal RNA". The record is from RNAcentral. Lineage: Bacteria; Bacillati; Actinomycetota; Actinomycetes; Bifidobacteriales; Bifidobacteriaceae.